AAUAGAUACCCAGGUAGUCCACGCCCUAAACGAUGAUAACUCGAUGUUAGCGAUAUACAGUUAGCGUCUUAGCGAAAACGUUAAGUUAUCCACCUGGGGAGUACGCCCGCAAGGGUGAAACUCAAAGGAAUUGACGGGGGCCCGCACAAGCGGAGGAGCAUGUGGUUUAAUUCGAUGAUACGCGAGGAACCUUACCCGGGCUUGAAAGUUACUGAAUUAUCUAGAGAUAGAUAAGUCCUUCGGACAGGAAACUAGGUGCUGCAUGGCUGUCGUCAGCUCGUGCCGUGAGGUGUUGGGUUAAGUCCCGCAACGAGCGCAACCCUAUGUUAGUUGCCAGCAUGUAGUGGUGGGGACUCUAAACAGACUGCCUGCGUAAGCAGAGAGGAAGGUGGGGACGACGUCAAGUCAUCAUGGCCCUUACGUCCGGGGCUACACACGUGCUACAAUGGAUGGUACAGCGGGCAGCUACCUUGUAAGAGGAUGCUAAUCUCGAAAAGCCAUUCACAGUUCGGAUUGAGGUCUGCAACUCCG
RNAcentral lists this ribosomal RNA (531 nucleotides) under uncultured bacterium. RNAcentral's name for it is "bacterial SSU rRNA". It matches the Rfam family "Bacterial small subunit ribosomal RNA", at positions 777 to 1314 of the family's 1533-position model. The record is from RNAcentral.